RNAcentral lists this unclassified non-coding RNA (352 nucleotides) under soil metagenome. Its description in RNAcentral is "partial contains 5.8S ribosomal RNA, internal transcribed spacer 2, and large subunit ribosomal RNA". The stretch from base 1 to 120 matches the Rfam family "5.8S ribosomal RNA", at positions 35 to 154 of the family's 154-position model. The record is from RNAcentral.
GAUGAAGAACGUAGCGAAAUGCGAUAAGUAAUGUGAAUUGCAGAAUUCAGUGAAUCAUCGAAUCUUUGAACUCACAUUGCGCCCGCCAGUAUUCUGGCGGGCAUGCCUGUUCGAGCGUCAUUACAACCCUCAGGCCCCCGGGCCUGGCGUUGGGGAUCGGCGGAGCCCCCCGUGGGCACACGCCGUCCCCCAAAUACAGUGGCGGUCCCGCCGCAGCUUCCAUCGCGUAGUAGCUAACACCUCGCGACUGGAGAGCGGCGCGGCCACGCCGUAAAACACCCAACUCUUCUGAAGUUGACCUCGAAUCAGGUAGGAAUACCCGCUGAACUUAAGCAUAUCAAUAAGCGGAGGA